RNAcentral lists this ribosomal RNA (121 nucleotides) under Pogona vitticeps (central bearded dragon). Lineage: Eukaryota; Metazoa; Chordata; Lepidosauria; Squamata; Agamidae. The record is from RNAcentral.
UUUAGUCCAACAUGGCACCCUUAAAUGCACAUGAUCUUGCCUGAUUUUGGAAGCUAAUCAGGAUUAGGCCUGGUUAAUACUUGGAUGGGAGACCACCAGGGAAUACCAUGCGUUUCUAGGU